This 253-nucleotide ribosomal RNA is filed under the name uncultured bacterium. RNAcentral describes it as "partial 16S ribosomal RNA". It matches the Rfam family "Bacterial small subunit ribosomal RNA", at positions 524 to 776 of the family's 1533-position model. The record is from RNAcentral.
UACGGAGGAUGCAAGCGUUAUCCGGAAUGAUUGGGCGUAAAGCGUCCGCAGGUGGCUGUGUAAGUCUGCUGUUAAAGAGUGAGGCUCAACCUCAUAAAGGCAGUGGAAACUACAUAGCUAGAGUAAGGUAGGGGUAGAGGGAAUUCCUGGUGUAGCGGUGAAAUGCGUAGAGAUCGGGAGGAACACCGGUGGCGAAGGCGGGUCUCUGGGCAUCUCCUGACGCUGAGGCGCGAAAGCGUGGGGAGCAAACGGG